CGCGGCCUAUCAGCUUGUUGGUGAGGUAACGGCUCACCAAGGCAUCGACGGGGAGCUGGUCUGAGAGGACGAUCAGCCACACUGGGACUGAGACACGGCCCAGACUCCUACGGGAGGCAGCAGUAGGGAAUCUUGCGCAAUGGGCGAAAGCCUGACGCAGCAACGCCGCGUGGGGGAUGAAUGCCUUCGGGUUGUAAACCCCUUUCAGCAGGGACGAAAAUGACGGUACCUGCAGAAGAAGCUCCGGCCAACUACGUGCCAGCAGCCGCGGUAAUACGUAGGGAGCGAGCGUUGUCCGGAAUUAUUGGGCGUAAAGAGCUCGUAGGCGGUUCAGUAAGUCGGGUGUGAAAACUCAAGGCUCAACCUUGAGACGCCACUCGAUACUGCUGUGACUUGAGUCCGGUAGAGGAGUGUGGAAUUCCUGGUGUAGCGGUGAAAUGCGCAGAUAUCAGGAGGAACACCAGCGGCGAAGGCGGCACUCUGGGCCGGUACUGACGCUGAGGAGCGAAAGCAUGGGGAGCAAACAGGAUUAGAUACCCUGGUAGUCCAUGCCGUAAACGUUGGGCACUAGGUAUGGGAUCAUAUCAACGGAUUCCGUGCCGUAGCUAACGCAUUAAGUGCCCCGCCUGGGGAGUACGG
This 639-nucleotide ribosomal RNA is filed under the name uncultured Actinomycetes bacterium. RNAcentral describes it as "bacterial SSU rRNA". It matches the Rfam family "Bacterial small subunit ribosomal RNA", at positions 232 to 885 of the family's 1533-position model. Lineage: Bacteria; Bacillati; Actinomycetota; Actinomycetes. The record is from RNAcentral.